CUUUCGGGCACAGUGGCGGACGGGUGAGGAACACGUACGUAACCUGCCCCGAAGCGGGGGAUACCCGCUCGAAAGGGCGGCUAAUACCGCAUGUGGCCUCUCGGUUGUGGCCGGGAGGGUAAACGCGCAAGCGGCUUGGGGAGGGGCGUGCGGCGGAUUAGCCAGUUGGUGGGGUAACGGCCUACCAAAGCGACGAUCCGUAGCUGGUCUGAGAGGACGGCCAGCCACACGGGGACUGAGACACGGCCCCG
RNAcentral lists this ribosomal RNA (251 nucleotides) under uncultured bacterium. Its description in RNAcentral is "partial 16S ribosomal RNA". It matches the Rfam family "Bacterial small subunit ribosomal RNA", at positions 83 to 334 of the family's 1533-position model. The record is from RNAcentral.